GGGACGAUAAUAAUGGCGUACAAAAUGAUCAAAGCAAUAGUGAUAGUGGCGGUGGCGACUAUAGUAAUGGUAGAACAUUGAUAAUAUGAUCGUCAUGAUAAUAAUUGUGGAGUAGCAAAGGCUAUGCUAAUACUUUCAGUCAAUCAAGAAAUUUAGUAUUAUUUUUUAGAUAUUCAAAGACAAUCAAUCAAAUUAAGACCGGUUGCCAUAUGCUAGAGAUGGUAAUAGAUCAUAGUGGUGGUGAUCAUAGUUACGAUAAUGAUAAUGGUGG
Molecule: long non-coding RNA, 271 nt
Filed under: Elaeis guineensis (African oil palm)
Lineage: Eukaryota; Viridiplantae; Streptophyta; Magnoliopsida; Arecales; Arecaceae
Description: long non-coding RNA (EGUI_LNC021596)
Source: RNAcentral